This 451-nucleotide ribosomal RNA is filed under the name uncultured bacterium. Its description in RNAcentral is "bacterial SSU rRNA". It matches the Rfam family "Bacterial small subunit ribosomal RNA", at positions 29 to 524 of the family's 1533-position model. The record is from RNAcentral.
AACGAACGCUGGCGGCAUGCCUAACACAUGCAAGUCGAACGAGACCUUCGGGUCUAGUGGCGCACGGGUGCGUAACGCGUGGGAAUCUGCCCUUCGGUUCGGAACAACAGUUAGAAAUGACUGCUAAUACCGGAUAAUGACGUAAGUCCAAAGAUUUAUCGCCGAAGGAUGAGCCCGCGUAAGAUUAGGUAGUUGGUGGGGUAAUGGCCUACCAAGCCGACGAUCUUUAGCUGGUCUGAGAGGAUGAUCAGCCACACUGGGACUGAGACACGGCCCAGACUCCUACGGGAGGCAGCAGUGGGGAAUAUUGGACAAUGGGCGAAAGCCUGAUCCAGCAAUGCCGCGUGAGUGAUGAAGGCCUUAGGGUUGUAAAGCUCUUUUACCAGGGAUGAUAAUGACAGUACCUGGAGAAUAAGACUCCGGCUAACUCCGUGCCAGCAGCCGCGGUAAU